Molecule: non-coding RNA, 75 nt
Organism: Myotis lucifugus (little brown bat)
Lineage: Eukaryota; Metazoa; Chordata; Mammalia; Chiroptera; Vespertilionidae
Source: Rfam
GGUGAUUCUCAGGUGAUGCAUCCCAGAAUCGGGCUCCCUCCUCUCUGGUUCUGGGUGCGUCACCCGAGAACCACA